AUCUAUCACCACCGCACGUUCCAUUCCACGCCGCGACCCCAUGGCAUUUCUCUCUCUCUCUCACACGCGCGCGCGCGCACACACACACUUGACGCAGCUUCGAAUCUCAGAAUUUUGUCGUGUAGAUCCGCGGGUUUGUGUUUGAUUUGGUCCAACAAAACCUAGUGACGGAGGAAGCGAAUGAACCGCCAUGGCUACCAGCGUUGUCCCAAAGGUUGCCGUCAUCGGAAGCGGAAUUUCUGGAGCCGUAUGUGCAUCUACUCUGGCCAGGAAUGGGGUCUCAGUCACCAUCUUCGACUCCGCUAGAGGUCCCGGCGGCCGAAUGUCUCAGAGAAGAGAGAUUAUUGAAGAUGGAAAGGAGCUGUUAUUCGACCAUGGUGCUCCUUACUUCACAGCCACCAAUGCCGACGUCUUGGGCCUUGUCCGUGAUUGGGAAGCGAGAGGUCUUGUUGCUGAGUGGAAAGAGAAUUUUGGUUCCUUCGAUUUUGCCUCUCAAAAAUUUGUUAACGUUGAAAAGGAAGGAUUGAGCAAGAAAUAUGUGGGUGUCCCGGGAAUGAAUUCUAUUUGCAGUGCAUUAUGCAAAGAGCCAGGAGUAGAAACCAAGUUCGGGGAGGGUGUUGGGAGGCUAGAGUGGUUGGAGGAUGAGGAUUCAUGGUUAUUGACAGGUUUAGAUGGACAAUAUCUUGGUCAUUUCAAGGGUGUGGUUGCAUCCGACAAAAAUAUAGUUUCACCCAGGUUUACAAAUGUGACAGGACGAUCAACACCUCUUGAUUUAAGUUUGGUUCCGGAGUUGGCCAUGAGGAUGAAAGAAAUCCCUGUUACUUCAUGUUUUGCACUGAUGCUAGCAUUUGAAGAACCUUUGUCUUUGAUACCAGUAAAAGGCGUCUCCUUCAACAAUUCUGAAGUUUUAAGGUGGGCAUUUUGCAACAGCAGCAAGCCAGAGCGUUCUACAUUUAGUGAGCAUUGGGUGUUGCACUCAACAGAUGAGUAUGCAAAGAGUGUAAUUGCUCAAAUGGGACUUCAAAAGCCUUCAAAUGCUGCAUUGACUAAAGUGGCCGAUGAACUAUUUCAAGAGUUCCAGAACACUGGACUCAACAUUUCUAAGCCAUUUUUCAAGAAAGCUCAUAGGUGGGGUAGUGCUUUUCCUGCCUCUAGCAUUGCAACAGAGGAGAAAUGCCUCUGGGAUGGGAAGAAGAGACUGGCCAUAUGUGGAGACUUUUGUGUUAGUCCAAAUGUUGAAGGUGCCAUACUUAGUGGCAUGGCCGCAGCCUCAAAGGUUAUUGAGAUCCUUAGUUGCUUAUAGUGACGACAAUAUCAGUUAAUCAUGCAGUUGCCUUCACAACAUGCUUGGGUUUGUAGUUGUUCACACAGGAUGAUUUAGCUAUUCGCUGUUGCUUGGUUGACAUAUACCUCAGAAUAAUCUGGUGAAAACAAAUAGCUCUCCCUCCUGGUUUGGAUAAUGUUGUAACAUCAUAUCCAGAAUCCCUCCUGGUUUGGAUAAUGUUGUAACAUCAUAUCCAGAAUGCAGCCAAUGGGGCAGCACCAUGUGUAACUUGGCAAUCACAAAUCCUUGGUUAUAUCAAUAAAUUUGGGUGGCCAGGAGACCACGCAUACAAACAGUUUUGAAGGCAAGAAAGAAACACUGAAAGUGAAGAUAGGCAGAAGGGCAUGGCUGCUGCAGCCUCUGUAGUGAUGACUUCACUGAGCCUGAAACCUUCUCCAUUCACAGUUGACAAAAGAGCUGUGAAAGGCCUUCCCUCCCUCACAAGAACUUCCUCUUUUAGGGUUGAGGCCAGUCGCAACAGGAAGGUCAAGA
Molecule: RNA transcript, 1816 nt
Organism: Camellia sinensis
Lineage: Eukaryota; Viridiplantae; Streptophyta; Magnoliopsida; Ericales; Theaceae
Source: RefSeq, a predicted model, not a curated record